UUUUUUCGCUGUGUGCAUCCGUAGUGCCAUUAGGGUGGUGCGUUGUUGCAGAAGCUGGGUGUAAUUGAUAUCUUUUUGAUAUUAAAAAUAUGCAGGCCAUCUAUUGUAGUUCACCGAAGCUGUCUACAAAGAUAGUAGCAGGGACGAGAGCGUGACAAAGGCUGCGGUUGCUGUCCUGGGGGAUCUUGCAGACACACUUGGCCCCAUCUCCAAGGAUCUGUUCAAGAGCCACCUCUUCCAUGUUGAGUUCUUGAGGGAGUGCCAAGAUAUGGACGACGAAGUCAGGGAUACGGCGUCGUGGACCCAGGGAAUGAUAAACCAGGCAAUAGUUUCUUAGUAUGAGAAAUUAUCUUGCUUUGUCUGCUAUGGCGGAUGUUCUGUUUUGUUGCUGCGCCAAUGCCCGUUUGGCGCAGAUGAACGGAAGGAUACCAAAGUAUAUGUAGCGUCAGUGGUAGGAACCUUGUUGUAGGAGUCUCCUGUGUUGUUUAUCUUGAGUCUGUCAAGUCGUUAUGCGUCACAUUUUCAGUGUGUCAAGUCGGUAUGCGUCACAUUUGAUGGCAGUGGGUUAUGGGGGUUAUGGCAUUGGACGUCUUGAACAGCUAAAUUUGUUGAUGUAUUCUUCUACUCUGUGUUCAUCCAUGC
Lolium rigidum is the source of this 642-nucleotide long non-coding RNA. RefSeq lists it as uncharacterized. The transcript has 2 exons. The record is from RefSeq and is a predicted model, not a curated record. NCBI's taxonomy places the organism in Eukaryota, Viridiplantae, Streptophyta, Magnoliopsida, Poales, Poaceae.